GAUGAACGCUGGCGGCGUCCCUAAUACAUGCCAGUCGAGCGAACAGACGAGGAGCUUGCUCCUCUGACGUUAGCGGCGGACGGGUGAGUAACACGUGGAUAACCUACCUAUAAGACUGGGAUAACUUCGGGAAACCGGAGCUAAUACCGGAUAAUAUAUUGAACCGCAUGGUUCAAUAGUGAAAGACGGUUUUGCUGUCACUUAUAGAUGGAUCCGCGCCGCAUUAGCUAGUUGGUAAGGUAACGGCUUACCAAGGCGACGAUGCGUAGCCGACCUGAGAGGGUGAUCGGCCACACUGGAACUGAGACACGGUCCAGACUCCUACGGGAGGCAGCAGUAGGGAAUCUUCCGCAAUGGGCGAAAGCCUGACGGAGCAACGCCGCGUGAGUGAUGAAGGUCUUCGGAUCGUAAAACUCUGUUAUUAGGGAAGAACAAAUGUGUAAGUAACUAUGCACGUCUUGACGGUACCUAAUCAGAAAGCCACGGCUAACUACGUG
Molecule: ribosomal RNA, 497 nt
Filed under: uncultured bacterium
Lineage: Bacteria
Description: partial 16S ribosomal RNA
Rfam family: Bacterial small subunit ribosomal RNA
Source: RNAcentral